This 211-nucleotide long non-coding RNA is filed under the name Brassica napus (rape). Its description in RNAcentral is "long non-coding RNA (BNAP_LNC002384)". The record is from RNAcentral. Lineage: Eukaryota; Viridiplantae; Streptophyta; Magnoliopsida; Brassicales; Brassicaceae.
GACUGGGAACAAAGUAAAGGAAAAGGAGGCAGUGUGAGUGUGUUGAAAGGUUUUUUCAACGAUUAACAGUGACAACAAUUUGGCAGUGAAUUGAAAUUAAAAAAAAAAAGACUGAUUCUACCUAUUACUGUUUCCUCUGGUGCAGCCCACGUGCGUUCAUAUGUUCUGUAUAUAAUCAUCAUCUGUCUGCUUGUAGGUUUUAUGGUCCAGA